GGCGGUGCUGCGCGGGGCCCCGCCUGAAGCCGGCCUCAGCUGAGGCAGGCGGCGAGACGGAUGCGCCGUUUGCAUUCGCCCGCAGUCAUUUUUAUCCGCGGAGGAUUACAAAGCCCCAAACUGACCUACCCGCUGAGGCGGCUGAGAAAAGGCGGUUCGGCAGGUGCAGCGCUGUCAGGAGGUGAGACGGCAAGCUAGACACACACCUGCUUUGAGACAGCAGCUCACAGUGGAAGAGACAGCGGGAUGUAAACCAGUCUGAAAAUUCACAUAGUAUGGACAAAGUGAACAUGAGCAACUAACUGUGGUGGAGUAAAUAGUUUCCCCGAAAUCUGAUAUUUGAGCUGGAUCCUGGAAGAGACCAACAAGGAUGGACUUCUAGACAGAGGCAGCCACAAUAAAGGGAUGGAGCUUUGUAGGAA
Molecule: long non-coding RNA, 422 nt
Organism: Lagenorhynchus albirostris (white-beaked dolphin)
Lineage: Eukaryota; Metazoa; Chordata; Mammalia; Artiodactyla; Delphinidae
Exons: 3
Source: RefSeq, a predicted model, not a curated record